GAAAGCUCUGAUAAAGCGAAGGAACUUCCUGCUACUUCUUCAUUAGGGGGUUAAUAACAUAUCAAUUUCAAAUGCAAAAGUGCUAUUCUUCUUCACAUAAGCCAUCUUCAAACAAUAAUGGGUAAACAUGCAGCCCCACUUCGUUGAUUAUUCCAUGCACUGACACCAAACUAUAAGUUUUCAGUCUUUCCUCCAGAUGCAAUUGAAAAUUAUCACAACUGCCUACCUUCGCCUUCUCUCCCCAUGCAAAGACCUGAACUCUCUCCUUCAAGUUCAUGCCCGCUUGAUAGUCUCAGGUCUUCAAGAAGACCAUUCGACAAGUGCCCAUCUUGUAAAGUCUUACCUUUCGUUUAAAAAAUGUGACUCUGCUCGUUUUGUGUUUGAUUCUUUGCCAAACCCAAGUGUUAGGUUAUACAACUCCAUGAUACGAGCUUACGCAAGUGUGAGAAGUCACCAAGAAGCUAUUCAAUUGUAUCAUUGCAUGUUAAGUAAACGCUUAGAGCCAGAUAAGUAUACGUUUACGUUUGUUUUGAAAGCUUGCACUGGUGCAUUAGAGUUUAAAGAGGGCGUUUUAGUUCAUCGUGAUAUAGUUUUUAGAGAGUUAGAUUAUGACAUUUUUAUUGGGACUGCUCUUGUUGACAUGU
RNAcentral lists this unclassified non-coding RNA (644 nucleotides) under Hevea brasiliensis (rubber tree). The record is from RNAcentral. Lineage: Eukaryota; Viridiplantae; Streptophyta; Magnoliopsida; Malpighiales; Euphorbiaceae.